Molecule: ribosomal RNA, 484 nt
Filed under: uncultured bacterium
Lineage: Bacteria
Description: partial 16S ribosomal RNA
Rfam family: Bacterial small subunit ribosomal RNA
Source: RNAcentral
AUUGAACGCUGGCGGCAGGCCUAACACAUGCAAGUCGAGCGGAUGAAGGGAGCUUGCUCCUGGAUUCAGCGGCGGACGGGUGAGUAAUGCCUAGGAAUCUGUCUGGUAGUGGGGGAUAACGUCCGGAAACGGGCGCUAAUACCGCAUACGUCCUGAGGGAGAAAGUGGGGGAUCUUCGGACCUCACGCUAUCAGAUGAGCCUAGGUCGGAUUAGCUAGUUGGUGGGGUAAAGGCCUACCAAGGCGACGAUCCGUAACUGGUCUGAGAGGAUGAUCAGUCACACUGGAACUGAGACACGGUCCAGACUCCUACGGGAGGCAGCAGUGGGGAAUAUUGGACAAUGGGCGAAAGCCUGAUCCAGCCAUGCCGCGUGUGUGAAGAAGGUCUUCGGAUUGUAAAGCACUUUAAGUUGGGAGGAAGGGCAGUAAGUUAAUACCUUGCUAUUUUGACGUUACCAACAGAAUAAGCACCGGCUAACUUCGUG